AACGUAGGUGGCGAGCGUUAUCCGGAUUUACUGGGCGUAAAGCGCGUGUAGGCGGCCAGGUAAGUCCGUUCUGAAAGCCCGGGGCUCAACCCCGGGAGGCGGAUGGAUACUGCUUGGCUCGAGUCCGGAAGAGGUGAGUGGAAUUCCCGGUGUAGCGGUGAAAUGCGCAGAUAUCAGGAGGAACACCGGUGGCGAAGGCGGUUCUCUGGGCAUUACCUGACGCUGAGGAGCGAAAGCGUGGGGAGCGAACAGG
This 253-nucleotide ribosomal RNA is filed under the name uncultured bacterium. RNAcentral describes it as "partial 16S ribosomal RNA". It matches the Rfam family "Bacterial small subunit ribosomal RNA", at positions 524 to 776 of the family's 1533-position model. The record is from RNAcentral.